GCCAACCGCCGUCUGCGCACGCGCACUGGGAGCUGGCCGCUGGGCUGUGCCGAGCACACCGCAGCGCCCCUAGCGGCGUCCGCCGGGGAAGCCUGCGCUUGCGCCGUGGGAGCCCGGCUGCCUCCCAGCCCCUGGCGCCCGGGAGCUGCCUCAGCGGGGGACGGCAGAGGGGUGCAGGGCUGCGCUGCUCCUUCCUUCUCCGCAACAUCCCUCUGUCUCCCCUGCUCCACUGCCCCCAGUUCUCUCACUCCCACAAGUGAGCGCACAGCGGUGGGGCCCUGGCUGAGCGACCCUGGUGUCCAGGCACCGUCCUCUGCCACGCACCGGGUGCGUCCUCACUCAGCCUCCGUGACACGAGUUCAUGGCCGAGCUCCGUGGAGCUUGGCCAUGAACCCAGUUGGGAAUGAGAGCAAUGGCUGUUGGGGGGCGCCUUGAAGUCCUUUCCAGGAUGCCGCCCUGGACAGCAGCAACACAUGCUACCAUGCUGCCCCUGGCCGUGGCAUGACCAGCUGCAGUGGCAAGUAUUUUUGUGCCGCCCUCCUCCCCUGUGUUCACUGCUGGGCUCCAGGAACGUAGGCUCCCUAGUAGAUAAGUAUGCAUGGAGCAGAUCAGUGGUUCUUGAAAUGCUUACUCAGAUGUGCAUGAUCUUUUCAGAAAAGGAUUUUUGUUCUUUGCAGCGUGUUGUGCCUUGGUUUGAUGCAGGUUGUAGGCAGCUGGAAUUGAGAAAGCAGCACUACACUCUGGAAUAGAAUUGGUAAUUUCAGUAGAAGUGCACAGGAAGGUUUUCUAGGUCUCAUAAAAACAGCCCUAGCUUAAGUUUGGAGAUCAUGUUUAAUCCUGUCUCAAUCCGCUUUGGUUUUCUGCCAGUGGCACUUGAAUCUGUGUUUCUCUUUCUUCAUCCAACACACAGUAUCAGACAUUUAAGGAGAUUUGUGUGGGUGAUGGGGGAAAAAGGGAGAUCCAAGGGCCCAACAUAACAAUGGCUGAGUUCAGUGUUCAGUAAUAGUGAUGCAGUAGGUCUUUCUUCAGAUUUCUGUCCUGUGGAUGGAGGCUGCUUAUCAGAAGGCCCUGCAAACAUGAAUCUUAUUGGUCAAAUCAGACUCAGUGAUCUUUUCUGUUCUUGUGAGAAUGGAAAGAUUCUGACCACUGACUUAACACAGUCUACUGGAGACCUUGUAACAUCUUUGAUCUUAACAUUGAGACUGAAGAGGAGGUCCAGGGCACCACAUAGCUUGGAUCACAGACCAGCUGUGAAAUUUCCAAAGAGACAUGUGAAGAAAUGCAUUUGGGAGCUUUUGCAUAUGCAGUUUUGUUGAUAUGCCAGUUGAAAUCUCCCAGGAUGACAAGUCUGGAAUAUUUCACCACUGUCAACUACAAGAUGAAAGAAAUACAAGUUGCCUUACCUGAGGCAAAAUCUCUUGGGUUUUCAUGUUUGAUGCGAAGAUGAAUGCAGUGCAGCCUGUCUUCUUGUCUUGUUUGGGCCUAUGAUGUGCCAAGUAUCCUAGGAGAACAGUGUAACACAGGUCUCACUGUCAUCUAGCCAGAUCUUAGUGAUGCAUGCUAUCCUCGAGUGUUUCAUCGCUGAUGAGGAUGCGUGUUGCUGAAGGUAAGAUCUGGUGUUCAUUAGCAUCAACUUUAUUUCCUGUUGCUUUGUGCUUUCCAUCUGGUGAUGGAUAAUGGAGCUUGGUGCUAGGUGUCUACUUUUCUAUCUCCUCAGACAGUUCCUUCAAAUUUGAACCAUGAUAGGUAAUGUGGUAGAUGAUGCCAUGGGAUGAUCUGAGUGGAGGAGCAGUUACCACAUACUAUGGGAAAGGCGAAUCUGAUGAAAAUAUUUAAAACUGUAACCUGGCUGAGGCACAGAAAUGGGUAGAACUGAAGCAGCAGUGGAUGUGCUGGAAGCAUGGUAUAAUAAUAGCAAUAGAAAUUACAAUAGCAACAAUAAUAGUAGGUAGGGUUGAGACUGCAAAAUUUAUUUCAAGGAAACGAGUAUCUGAAGUAACACUUACUCCUUUUGGUAUUGUCACGACACACCAAUUGUUCUUAUAUGUUUUGUCAAGAUCAUAGACAGGAGGAAGAGAGAUAGCACUAACUUGAGUCAUAUCUGAGUUACAGCCAUAGCACAACUUCCUGACCAGAGGUGGGAGAGCAGAGCAGAGCUGGGGCUCAGGGCUUCUUACCUGUAAGAAGGCAGAACUGUUUUCUAGCCAGGGUUGGAGAACAAAAGGCAAUGAAAAGAAUGCUGUCAACUUUUGUGACUUUAGCACAACAGCAUUUUAUAUUUUUCUUAGCACCCCAGUCACAAAGUAUGAGCUCUCACUUUAAGAGGAGUUCUAGUACUUACGGUUGCGAGCGAGGCUUGAGAACAGGAAGUAUACUGAGCAGGCUUCAAAAACAGCAAGCAAGCAAAAACCUCAAUCUUACUUUUUUUUCAAAGUCACAUUUUACUGGGGCCUAAAUCCUGAUUUUGGAAUGGUCAAGAGUUUGCAAUUUUAGUAUCAUUUAUAUUUUUGGGUGUAAGCAGGUCAUGUACCCAACUUCCUUAUUGAGGUCAGUCAGCACCAUGUCCAGGGAGUUCUCUCAGCCAGUUGAUUUUACAGGAGAUGGUCUUCUCCCCAGAGUAAAAGGAAAGCAACAAAUCAAACCAGUGUGCCAACAGCAAACAAAACCAAACACAAACUUGCAGUCUUUCCUCAUAUCUUGGGAAGAAAGAUACAGGCUCUGUAUUUUUCCCUAUGCACCAGCAUCUCCGUUUGCACUCCGCUCUCAGAACUUUAACUCUUUUUUGUAGCUCCACCCGGCUUUAAUGCUCUUCAGUAGCAGCUGGCCUUCUGGGCCUCCAGCCAAACAGCUUACACGCUGUUGCCUACCUGUCACGGAGGUUCCAGCUCCUGAAGGCUGUACUUCCUUACACUGGGCCAGAACACAUUUGUGCUAGGUGCUGAACAAACGUGGAACAAAGAGAGAUUUGCUAUGACCAGACCCAUUCUUCUCAACCACAUGAGCGUGAUGAGGAUGAAAAGGUGAUAUACAUUGUUAUCAUCACAAGCAAGGGAGGAAAGAAGUUAAAGAAACACCAAGGAACAUACAUAGAGACUGACUAGGAUUUGCUUACAGGAGGGAGGAAGCUCUAAAUAUCCUCAAGCUAACUUUACCAUAAUGUUUUGGUUAGAAGUAUAAUCCAUGCAAGUUUUUAUAAGCAUCAUAUAGAUGGAUCUUGAAUCAUUUGAGACAUGUAGCGCAGCUGAAGUUUCAGUUCUGUGUACUGAGUCCUGGCUGAAGUAGAACAAGAGUCAUCCAGCUAACUCUUAAAUGCUAUGUUUCAGAUAGUUUUGUGUGUGUCCUUAAGAAUGCCUUCACAUAACACAGCUCAGAUUUCAAUGUGGAGACUGUAUUUUUUCUUUAAUAUUCAUCUAAUGCAUUAGUUCUAACAUCUUUCAAGUGGAACAAAAGAUGUGACAAACAUGGACAACUUAAAAUAAGACAACUACUUAAGAAUUCUUUGGUAGUGUUAUAACUAUCUGUCUCUUCUGAUUUAACUUGGUAGGAGACUCAAUAUACUUUAUGAAGAGCUGCUCCAUUUCUCUUAGAAUAGUUAUACCUAUAAUAAUGAAUCACCUUUUUUUUUUUUUGCUCUUGAUUGGGCAACUAGUCCUUCAACAGCUAUAAAUCCUAAUAGAAUGUAAUAAAGACAUAUGAAAAAAUUAUCCCUUCUCAGGAAACCUGAUUUAGAAUUAGCAGCAGGCAGUAAGAAAAAGAUAAGAAGAGAAUAUCAAACAAAAGCCCUCAGAACUUCUAAAAAAAUUUUCUGUUUUGUAUUUGAAAAAGCAAUGAUAAACAAUUGCCAGUAUAAAAUAAUGCUUUAACGGUCAGUUCUGCAAAUUCAGCCUGUGCUUUGAGAUCUAACAUGAUUUUUUUUUUGCUUCUUUUUUCUGCAGAGCCAAGGGUAACUAGAGGUCAAAGUUGGUCCUCCGUCAUGAAGUUCUGUUACUUUCAAUCAAUCACUUUCAGUGUGUUUACGUAGCUAAGACUUAUUGGAACAAUUCAGUUGAUAAUGGCCAUUACUUAUCAGAAUCCAGUUUACUCUCUCCCUCCCCCCCACUCCACCCAUCUGGGUUGCUCCAGUUUUAUAGGAGUGUGUGUACAUGUUUAAGAUUUUUUCUGACAAAUGUCAGUUUAUCAAGGGAACUUAAGUUUCUGCUUAAUUUAAGCCCCUAAGUAAACAUCCAUCUAUUAAUCCAUUUGGAGCCACCAGACAUGAAAGUAUUCAAAUAAAGAGCAGAUGUGCUUAAGCAAUUUUUACAUAGUCAUCUUUAAGAAUAAAUUCAGCUUUGAAAAAUAACUAACACCGCCUUGUGAGAAAGGACAUUAUUAAUAAUCUCAUUUUAUGGAUACUGAAAGUGCAGCAGAGAGUUUAAAUGAUUUGCCUAGGUCAUGCAGAAAGUCUGUGGUCACCUCUAUACAUGCAGAUAAAAGUCAUGAUUGGAUCCAAUGCGUGAUCCACACAAUUGUACCUCCUGCCAUGCUACACAUGCAAGACAGGAGACAUGAUUGUGGGAUUGUGCGUUAGAUCCAAUUGCACCAUGUUGUUUGUGCAGGGGGACCCCAAUCCUGGGCUCCCCUGGCACUAGCAAGAAGCAGGCUCCCAUGGCUGGAAGCCCCCUUUGUUAACGGAGCUCUCAACCAUGGGGCCACGUGCAGGCAGGGCCCAGAGACCCUGCAGCUCUCAUGCCUGACUGCACAAUAUGUCAACUGUGGAACUCCCAGUCCCUGCUGCAGGUGAGGACCUGGACAAGAGCCCCGUGUGGGCAGGAGAUUUCUUCCCUCUCCCCCUCCGCCAGCUCUGGGGAUCACAGCACUACAAUCCCCAGGGCUUGGAGUUUUCAUGCUGGGGAAGCGUACCCCUGCAGCUGGGAAUACUGUCAGUUGACAGGGCUUGUGGCUGAAGGGAAGAGACCCUGCUACACAUGCAAAUUAAAUUUGAUAGCAACCAGCUAUAACAUUAGUACACAUUUUGAGGUCAAACUUAAUAGCUGGUUUGAGCUUUUUAUCAUUUGAUAGCUACUUUGCAGACAUAGCUGGUCUUGAGGUAAUUGUACAAUUAACUAGUUAAUUGCGCAAGACCUGUAACAUGUAUAAACAAAGAACAGACUCAAGAUUUACCCUUCUGAGACUGAUUCCAUUGCCUUAACCAAACCACCGUCUUUCCAUAAGGAAUGUAGAUAUAAUACUGUGUAAUUAAUGGUUAUCUAAAUAAUUUGAUGUAGAUAAACUGGAUAUUUUGAACCAUACCAGUUAAACUCCAAUUCUGUAAAUGCCCAACAAAGCAUGUAUUUGCAGGAUCAAGAUUUUGCACUGUGAGGAAGAGUUACUAUAAUGCAUUUUCUUUAUUUUACAAUUUUUCUGUAUGCAUUGGGUCAAAUUUAUCACUCAUGUAAUUAUUGAAGUUAAACCAAGAAUGAAAUUUGCCCAUUAUGUUCACAGUAAGUUAGCUAGAAUCUCAUGAAUAAACAUGCUUUUUUAAAACAUAUCAAAUAUGUUUCGCUCUGUGAUCCUAAUAGGCAGGUAAAAACAAUUCAUUCUUAUGCCUCGGCGGCAAGAUGUGCUUGGAAACGGUGUUGACCUCAAUUGCUAAGACUUCGGUCACAUGUACAAAGCAGAGUCAGGAUUUCCUAAGGAAUCUGAAAAAUAUGCAUAGUACUUAAAAAAAAAAUGUUGCAUGUCAGUUACCACUGCCAAGCGCAUUGUUGUGCAUAAUGGUUCAUUGUACUGAAUUUCAACCCUUGAUUAAAUUACAGUAUUUUGUGGUGAGAUUUAUGGUUAAGAUAAUAUAACUUAAAAUGACAAGCCAAAUGUCAACCUCAUGUUUAAGUUGAAUUUGGCAGCAUAUUAAUGACUGUUACCAUUUAGGACUCCCCAAUUUUUCAAAGAAAUGAUGCCAAAGGGUUUUCUGAUAACCAUGUAUGCUAAAUGUAUAAAUGCUAGACAAGGCUGAGGAUCAGGUACCAUUUCGAUGGAGACAUCUUGAACCUGCGCAGGCUCCAAGCGAGCGCCAAAGUUCAGACAGCCACGCUUCAUGACUUCCUCUUCACUGACGACUGCGUGUUAUGUACAGGCUCACAGGCUGACAUGUAAUGGUCAAUGGACCUAUUCCCAUCAGUCUGCAACAGCUUUUGACUCACUAGCAACACGAAGAAGACUGAAGUGAUGCUUUCAUUCUGUGCUUGGCACAACACUCCAGGAACCACACGCCUCAGUUAACGGUCAACAACUGUCAAUGGUCAACAAGUUUGCCUAUCUAGGCAGCAUGUUCUCCUGUGCUGUCCACAUCAACGACAAAGUCAAUGUGAGGCUAGCAAAAGCCAGCGUGGCUUUCGGCAGACUCUGUAAGUCAGUCUGGGACUGCAGAGGCAUUGGAAUGUUGACAAAACUGAAGGUUUACAAAGUCAUCAUUCUCCCAACCCUCCUUUAUGCCUGUGAAACCUGGACCAUCUACCAGUGUCAUGCCAAGAAACUAAACCACUUCCACCUGUGCUGCCUGUGAAAGAUACUAAAGAUCAAGUGGCAGGACAAGAUUCUGGGCAUUGAGGUGCUCAGAAGAUCAGCUCUCCCCAGUAUCCAUACUCUACUGAAACUGGUGCAGCCAAGAUGGGCCGGCUACCUUUCAAGAAUGCCUGAAACUCGCCUGCCAAAUUAAAUCUUCUACAGCAAACUGUGAAAUGGAGUAUGCUUUCUCGGCACAUCAAACACAUCACGGUACAAGGACACCCUAAAGAGUUUUGGCAUUGACCUGUUGUCAUGGGAGCAAAUUGCUUAUGAUCAUCCAUCUUAGAGGUCAUCAGUCCAGAGUGGAGAACUAGCCUUCGAGCAGCGGUGCAUGGCAGAGGCAGUGAGGAAGCACAUGGCCAGGAAACAAAGACCUCUCAUGUUCAUUCCUUGUCACACCCCUGCCCUUGCUACAGCAGAUUGUUCAAGGCAAACAUUGGUCUUAUAAGUCACCCAAGUGCCCAUGUGACCUAGCCUCCACCCCCCUCCUCUCUUUUUCCCCAAUCCCUUUUUCUUUGCCUCUUCCUUUCUCUCUUCUCUCUCCCUGACCCCUGCCUUCCCCACUGGAUGUGGUCAUCUUUGCUUGCAAAGAACGAACAGCAGACAAGGCUGACUGAUUCUUAUUUAAAAAAUGUGGACUUGCGCAGGCAAUGUCUAAUACUAAAUUAGGAUUUUAAAGCUUUCAGACUCUGGAACAAAGUUCUGGUUUGUUCUUUUUUUUUUGGCAUCAGACACAGUUUUUCCAGCCAAAAAAUGUUGUAUGUUCAGUUAUUUCCCUCUGUCCUCAGCUUUUUAUAUGAAUUCCUUGUACAGAUGCAUGCAGUAAGCAGAAAAAUAAUUAGCAUCUGUUUUCUCUUAUUUGCAAACUAAAAUUCUGCCUUUUUAAAUAGGAAUAUGGGAUUUGCAACACAGAGCACAUCACUGGAUCAUUUAACCCAGAAUCGCCACCAUAGCAGUAGCCCAUAUCACACACUUUUGAAGAAGAAAAGAAAAAGAAAAGUUUGUCUCAGUUAACAUGAUACUUGCUUUCAGCAUUAGCAAUAUAGUUCUACAAACCCUACCUGAAACAGAACUGUUGCCUUGAAAAUUAACAGCAAUACUAGCGGUGAGGUAGUGACCUCACCCUACCAGUCAGCACCUGGAGUAUGAUUUUUUCAAUGACUUAGGACUUGGUGAAUUUAAUGAUGUCCAUAUACUUGGGCAAGACAAGCAUUAACAGUCAAGUUAACUUAUGUACCUUGCAUUUGUGUUUCAGUGCCUUGCUUUAGUUUAGACUCCUUUGUAAACACUAGACUUGAUAAAAAGCAGGUUAUCUGCUCCUUGGAGAUUUUUAUUUUUAGGAGAAAACAACGUCCCGUUUAGUCUUGUUACUGAACAGCCCCAUGUUUCCCUUCACAUCUGUAUAUGCAGAUGUGGCACAGGCCAACAGCUAGAGUUUGAACAGUGGUGAUGAGUUGCCUGCUCCCAAUUCCACCCAAUCAUGUGGAAGUUUCUCUGCAGAGAAUUUGAAGUGUUCCAACUCUGCAGAUUGAAAAGACCAGAACAAAAGAGCAAGGGGAUGAGGUGAGGUGAUGACUGUGAAAGCUUGGCUGGACCCACAUAUGAAAUUCAAAUGAUCAAAUUAAAAUAAGAGUGUAUCUUGCACAAGAAUACAAGAUCGUGACUGGGACCAUGCAAGAUGAAGCAAUCCCAAUUGAUUUAACCUCCUGUACUAGUUGCAAGUAUACCCAAUGUUUUAUUAUGGAAAACCAAUCAUAAAUAACUGCAUAUUCGUAUGUGACUAUCCUUCUUGUUGACACAUCCUCCCUUGAUUAAGGCAUAUUUCUCAGAACAGGCAUUCAAUAUCUGCUUGGGGUUUUGCAAAUGUCUCCAGAGACCAUCACCGGUUCAGAAUAUUUUGGGUUCUGCACCACUGUUAAAACAACUACUCAAAACAGGGUCCUGUGAUCGAUGCCCUAAGGUAUCCCAUUCAGUCAAUCAAGACCCAUGCCAUUUGCUUGAAGUAUAAGCUCUGGACUGAUCAAAAGUUUGCAAAAACAAGGUUCACAACUGGACAACCCAAAAGGAGAUCUGAGCAGUUAGCAAUUAUAAUAUGAUGGUCCCUUUCUACCUGCUUUGUUUGGACUUAAUCAAAAAAAUGUCAAGGUGGAAUGCUUUGAAGCUAUACAAUUAAAGACUAUAAGAAUGAAACAGAGUUGCUGGCAAGUGCUCCAGGAGAGAGAAAGAAAUCACUGCAAGACUCUAACCUGCACCCAGCUGAUCACUCUGGGCACUGGAUCCAUGCCCAGUGAAGGCUGUAAAACCGAAACCGCUUCCUGCCUGCAUUGGUGAAAGACACUAUUGCAGCUAACAUAUACUAGGACUUUUGUGAUAGUUCAUUAAUUGACUAUUGGAAAGGAGUCUUUUUCUGUCAUUUAGUGCUGUAGCUUGUUUGUUGUAUAGUUAUUAAAGCCUUUCUCUCAUUAAUUGAA
Molecule: long non-coding RNA, 9014 nt
Organism: Alligator mississippiensis (American alligator)
Lineage: Eukaryota; Metazoa; Chordata; Crocodylia; Alligatoridae
Exons: 2
Source: RefSeq, a predicted model, not a curated record